GAUGAACGCUGGCGGCGUGCCUAAUACAUGCAAGUCGAGCGAACGGACGAGAAGCUUGCUUCUCUGAUGUUAGCGGCGGACGGGUGAGUAACACGUGGAUAACCUACCUAUAAGACUGGGAUAACUUCGGGAAACCGGAGCUAAUACCGGAUAAUAUUUUGAACCGCAUGGUUCAAAAGUGAAAGACGGUCUUGCUGUCACUUAUAGAUGGAUCCGCGCUGCAUUAGCUCGUUGGUAAGGUAACGGCUUACCAAGGUAACGAUGAGUAGCCGACCUGAUAGGCUGAUCGGCCGCACUGGAACUGAGCCACGGUCCAGACUCCUGCGGGAGGCAGCAGUAGGGAAUCUUCCGCAAUGGGCGAAAGCCUGACGGAGCAACGCCGCGUGAGUGCUGAAGGUCUUCGGAUCGUAAAACUCUGUUAUUAGGGAAGAACAUAUGUGUAAGUAACUGUGCACAUCUUGACGGUACCUAAUCAGAAAGCCACGGCUAACUACGUG
This 497-nucleotide ribosomal RNA is filed under the name uncultured bacterium. RNAcentral describes it as "partial 16S ribosomal RNA". It matches the Rfam family "Bacterial small subunit ribosomal RNA", at positions 28 to 507 of the family's 1533-position model. The record is from RNAcentral.